Toxocara canis (dog roundworm) is the source of this 65-nucleotide transfer RNA. It matches the Rfam family "tRNA". From Rfam's summary of the family: Transfer RNA (tRNA) molecules are approximately 80 nucleotides in length. Their secondary structure includes four short double-helical elements and three loops (D, anti-codon, and T loops). Further hydrogen bonds mediate the characteristic L-shaped molecular structure. tRNAs have two regions of fundamental functional importance: the anti-codon, which is responsible for specific mRNA codon recognition, and the 3' end, to which the tRNAs corresponding amino acid is attached (by aminoacyl-tRNA synthetases). tRNAs cope with the degeneracy of the genetic code in two manners: having more than one tRNA (with a specific anti-codon) for a particular amino acid; and 'wobble' base-pairing, i.e. permitting non-standard base-pairing at the 3rd anti-codon position. The record is from Rfam. NCBI's taxonomy places the organism in Eukaryota, Metazoa, Nematoda, Chromadorea, Rhabditida, Toxocaridae.
GUAGUAGCUCAGUAAUAGAGCUCCCGCUUCGUGUGCGGGAAGAGCUGGAUUCGAUUCCCGGCUGC